This is a long non-coding RNA of Numida meleagris (helmeted guineafowl), 2813 nucleotides long. RefSeq lists it as uncharacterized. NCBI's taxonomy places the organism in Eukaryota, Metazoa, Chordata, Aves, Galliformes, Numididae. The record is from RefSeq and is a predicted model, not a curated record. The transcript has 2 exons.
UUUCUAGAGAUCCAUCCUUGGUGGGAGCCUUUCCCUGUGAACCCAAAAUCUUCUGAUCCGAAACCAUCUGCACCUCCUAACUGAUCUUCAGAGUACCUGAGUGGAACAAGGAUGUAAAUUAUCAGCCACUGCUUAACGCACACAAAAAUUAUAUGGACUGAUGAGCCUCUCUUUGCUUCUAUGCAGCACAGAGGACGUGAUGCUAUGUUUUGGAUGAUUAAUGGAUCUCAGAAUUUACUGAAGAACAACAAUAUUUCUAUCAAACAUAAUACUGAGAUGGAGAGUAACUAUAUUCAGUUUGCCACCAUGUUUUAAAUUCACUUGCUUCUGGGAAGUUCUUAAUUUCCAUGUCUCAGAGAAUCUGCUUUCUUGCAGUAGUUUCUAUUUAUUUCUAUUUGGGUCUUUUACAUGAUGAGAUAUAGCGUAUCUGUUGGCCAUAGUUAAAUUCUAGAAGGAUUUAGAAGAUGAUUGUCAUGCAUGCGUAGUCAUAAAAAGCAUGGGAAGAACAUUAGAUUUCUUAUCCUGUCACCUUCCUCUAAUUUAGAUAUUUCUUUAUUAUUUACUGUCUACUUGCUUAUAUUAUUAAGUACUGUGAACUCAGUUUAUCCAUUCUUUAGGGACUGUCAGAAGCUUUUGUUUGUACUGCAGUAAAAAUGUAGACAUCUUCCAUUAUGUUUUCCUUGCAUUAGACUAAGAACAAAUCAACCUCUUGGCUCUUAAAUGACGGGGAGAGUGUACACUCCAGGCUUUUCUGGAGUCAAUAUUAUACCUGUUGUUUAAGAGACAUUAAAUCAUAAUGCGAAUUUCCUUUCACUCUUCUUUGUGAAUAUGAUUUCUUAGAAAAGAAGGUGAAUUACACUAUACAAAGUGAAUGUACAUGAAUAUUCUGUUGGCAUAUAAUCAGAAAUUUACACAUUUUUCCUUAUUUUUUCUUUUUUUAUUUUGAAGAUUUGAUGACUGAGCAUAUUUCAUUUUGAAAGAACGAAGUUAAAUGAACUUACUAGAGAAAUUCUCAGAACAAUGUAACAUUUCUUCUACUAAAUCACAGAGCAGGCUAAUGACAAUGCCUAUGCUGGACAAGAUUUUUGUUGCUAUACUCUAUUGGUGUCUCACUGGGUAUGUGUUACACAGUAUGUGUUAAAACCAUCAUGUGUCAUUCUGUCAUAUACAUUUUAUGUACUAAGUAUGUUUAUAACCAGUUUAUUUGUUUAGUAGAAAGGAAUGAAAAAGAGUACUUCUGUAUGGAGGCAAAAAGCACUAUGUGAGUAUUGCGGAAUGUUUCCUACUCACAGAAAAGAAUAUCUGUACAAAUUGGAUCUCACAUGAUUUCGUAUCUGGACUUUGUAUUAAAAGCAUCCAGAUGGUGUAGUAUGAGAUUGUUUCAAGAAAAAAAAAAAAAACACAACAGGGAUCCUUGCGGGCAGUGACAAUUUCCAGCUAUUGCAAGUUAUUUCCUUAUUCAGAGAUAAUUUUCUGAUGAAACCAGAGAAAAUGAAAGUCUUUAAGGAUUUAUGACAUGGUGAUCUUAACCUUUUUCCAUCCAGCUGAGAAAGAUCCCUUUGAGUUAUGAAGUAGUUGUUACUACUUGUUACCCUUUUCUUUACUUUCCCCUUUCAUGAUAGGGGUUUCUAAACAUGUGCUCACAGAGAGAUAUUCCUUCAGUCAGGAUAAGGAAAAUAAUGGACAGAAUUAUGCUUCUGGACAUAUAGCCUUCCAUUUAUUACAUAACUUCAUUUUAACAUCACUGGAAUCAUUAUUAUUGCCUCAUAAAACAUGGUGAUGGUACCAUUACUGCUUCUGAUCUACAGAUGUUAUAGACAUUGAUAGCACAGAGAAUAAUGAAGAUAUAGAUUUCAAGGCACUAAAAUCAAUUUAAAUGCUUUUAAGUUAGCUGAAAAGCUGUCAUGUAAAUUAUUACACAAGAUAUAGACCAGUUUUAAAGCUGGCUGUGGAACACUGGAAGGUUAUCUAUUUACAACCCUUAAGUUUUGAAUUCUUCCUUGGUAACUGAAUUACAUUGCAUGUUGUAACAAGCAGAAGAUUAAAUUUCAGGACUCACUUCAGUUUUUAGAUAACUUCUGAAUUUUAGGAAUAGAUUUUUGUAAAGCUGUACAAAUGUCUUAAAGUAGAUAAACAGUCUUACAUAGGUUUUUUAAAUUUCUUAUGAAAAGAGGAUUAAAUACUAUGUUUUUAGUGACUAGCAUAUUAACUUUUAUUCACUACAAAUAUGAAGGAUUUGUUUCCUCACAAUUAACUCGCAUCAUGUAAUUUUUCUGCUGGUGACACAGUUAAGGAACUGGAACAUCUUUCCUAUGGGGAAGAGCAAAGAGGAUGGAGCCAGGCUGUUCUCAACGGUGCCCAAUGUCAGGACAAGAGAAAAUGGACCUGAACUAGAACAUAGGAGGUUCCAUCUGAACAUCAGCAAAUGCUUCUUUACUGUGCAGGAGGUUUAACAACUAAACAGACUGCCCUGAGAGGCUGUAGAGUCUCUUCCUUGAAAAUCUUCAGAAGCUUCCAGGACAUGUUCCUAGGCCACGUAAUUUAGGUGGCUCUGCUUUAGUAGAGGUUGGACCAGAUCUCCUCUAGAAGUCCCUUCCAACUUCAGCUGUUUUGGGAACCUGUGACUAGGUAUAAACCUCCUGGUGUUUUCUAUACCCUGAGUUUCUCUACAGAUACUAUAAUAUAAUACAAAAGAGAAUCUAAAGGUAGUAAAAAUACUACAGUUGAGCUUACACUUAUUAUGAUUUGACUUAGUUGUGGAUAGUUUGCUUAGUAACUAAGAUCACAUAUGAAAUAAAUCCUAUUCAGGCUUA